RNAcentral lists this long non-coding RNA (220 nucleotides) under Lathyrus oleraceus (garden pea). Its description in RNAcentral is "Pisum sativum (pea) long non-coding RNA (PSAT_LNC020738)". Lineage: Eukaryota; Viridiplantae; Streptophyta; Magnoliopsida; Fabales; Fabaceae. The record is from RNAcentral.
AAAACUUUCAGAAUAACACCAUUUUCUUUUGCAAAUUUUUUUUGGUAGGGCUAAAGGAAUGGGGAGAUUAGAAUGUACUAAAGAUACACUAUACUGGUGACUCGUCAGACUCAUGCAUUAUCUAAAACACUCGGACUAAAAGCAAAAUGAAACAAAGUAAAAAACUAAAAAUCAAUAAAAAUAAACAAUCUAACUAAAAACAACAAAGAAAAAUAGAAAG